This 252-nucleotide ribosomal RNA is filed under the name uncultured bacterium. Its description in RNAcentral is "partial 16S ribosomal RNA". It matches the Rfam family "Bacterial small subunit ribosomal RNA", at positions 524 to 776 of the family's 1533-position model. The record is from RNAcentral.
UACGAAGGGGGCUAGCGUUGUUCGGAUUUACUGGGCGUAAAGCGCACGUAGGCGAUCGUUAAGUCGGGGGUGAAAUCCUGGAGCUCAACUCCAGAACUGCCUUCGAUACUGGCGAUCUUGAGUCCGGAAGAGGUGAGUGGAACUCCUAGUGUAGAGGUGGAAUUCGUAGAUAUUAGGAAGAACACCAGUGGCGAAGGCGGCUCACUGGUCCGGUACUGACGCUGAGGUGCGAAAGCGUGGGGAGCAAACAGG